This 1801-nucleotide long non-coding RNA is filed under the name Malus domestica (apple). RNAcentral's name for it is "long non-coding RNA (MDOM_LNC005140)". Lineage: Eukaryota; Viridiplantae; Streptophyta; Magnoliopsida; Rosales; Rosaceae. The record is from RNAcentral.
UGAUAUGAGUGAUGCUUAUGAAUGUUUUGCUAUGCAUGAAGGGAUCCGUGCUUUUGAUAUGUGAACUAUGUUGGUUGUAACACUUAGUAUCACAUACUUUGUGUCAAAGUACGCAUGUUGAAGCUCUGAGUUGGAGUAUAAGGGUAGGUUAGCGUGGACCAAUUGUUCCAGUGUUAGGAAUGCAAAAGACUCAGAAGAAGUUGUCUGAAUUCUCUCUUCUUUAAAUAUUUGCCGAAUGGCUUGUGUGACAAAAGAUCUCAAGCGGUUGAGAGUCAAAACAUUUGUAAUAUGUAUGCCUUCUUAUAAUAGCAUUUCCUUUAGUACCUAGUCCUCCACUUUGAAAGAGUGAUGCUUAGCCCCAUAGUCAUAAUAGUCGAAGGUACGUUCACCCCUGGUUGUCUUGAUACGAACUUUUAUCCCUCUUGUUGUAAUGGGCUUGCUGAAAGUAAAAAUCCUUCCUCUUACUAAGAGACAGAUACGUUUGGUGACUUAGCGAGUAGCUAAAUGAGGCAGGAGAUAAUGCAAUAGGUGUUUGAAUGGCCAAGAUCUCCUCACUUGGUAGAACCUGACUUCCACUUCCCAUUUGUUGAUAAGGGUUAACCAUAUGGGGGUUCCCUUGGUAUGUCAUUGCUUCAGCGGAGGCGUGGUCGUAAGCAUGUGCCAUCACCUCAGAGUAAGUUUUCCAAGUGUUGGCAUUGAUUAUGUACUUGAAGAAACAAUCACGUAGGCCUGCCGUGAAGGCUUUGAGGGUGGUCUUGUCAUCUGCCUCAGCACAGUGAGAAUACUUAUGGCUAAAGUGACCAUCAUACUUUCGUAGUGACUCAUCCGUCUUUUGACGAAUAGUGUACAAGUCAUCUGUAGAAUGCAAGCGAUCAAUCUAGAAGAUAUGUUGAGAGACAAACAGUUUCCUUAGUUCCUCAAAUGAGUGUACUGUCUCAGGUGGAAGACGACAAUACCAGUUUAGAGCUCCGCUAGAGAGGGUGGAGGGGAAGAGAAUACAUCGCUCUUCGUCGGUGUUCAUCCGAUAUGCCAUGGUGGACUUAAAGAGGUUAAGGUGUUCAAUUAGGUCAUCCCUUUCAGUAUAGAGUUGUAAACCAAGCUUUUAUUUUGUCUUCGCUUGAAGGGGGUGUUAAGGAUCCUCCUUGUGAGAGGGCCAGACCUGGGUUGGUUCUAGUCAGGUAUCUCGGCCUGACGUUCGGCCUUCAACGUGUUUACUUAUUCAAGGAGCUGUAGGAUAAGGGGGUCCUCAGUGGAGUCAUGUACCACUGAAAUUUUCUUUCGUAAAUCUCCAUUGCCUCUUGGAAGUAGGAAAGUUUGAGCAAGGGCGUGUGGUUUUUUCUUGGACUCGCCGUACUGACUUCUAGGGCGAGUAUGUCGGAAUACCUCAGAGUCCCCUGUACCUUCCUGUUCAUCUGGGACAUGUUGUUCCUUCCCUAGAUUGGCAACUGGCCUGGGUCGUGGGAGGGGACCAAGUCUUUCAGAAACCCUUGGGUCAUUGAUCUUCAAGCAUAUGUGGAGGGGAUUCUCUCGACGUCGCUUUAGGAAGUCUUGGCAGUCACGAUAAACGGUUUUCGAUCCUUCCAACCCUUCUGCAAUGAGGUGUCUUCCUCCACUUCUCCUGCUUCAGGUCGAAGCAUCUGGGUUGAGAGAAGUCUCAAGUUGAUCAAUGUUUUGAUGAUUAGCUCGCUCCUUAUCAGGGAUACCCAUGUUGAAGGGAGGUCCGUGUUGGGGGGUACCCAGAUGAUGGUUGAUGUCCACAGGGGUAAUGAGCUCGCGUGUUUGAGUAUGCAUAGUUUCGUGG